GCCAGCAGCCAUAUCACCCUGCAACUCACAACUGGCAGCCCACUGAAGCUAAGCAGGUGUGAGCCUGGUCAGGACCUGGAUGGGAGACCUCCUGGGAAACUAAGGCUGCUGCUGGAA
RNAcentral lists this ribosomal RNA (117 nucleotides) under Lepisosteus oculatus (spotted gar). Lineage: Eukaryota; Metazoa; Chordata; Actinopteri; Semionotiformes; Lepisosteidae. The record is from RNAcentral.